This is a long non-coding RNA of Hyla sarda, 199 nucleotides long. RefSeq lists it as uncharacterized. Lineage: Eukaryota; Metazoa; Chordata; Amphibia; Anura; Hylidae. The record is from RefSeq and is a predicted model, not a curated record. The transcript has 3 exons.
AGUACACAUCGCAGUGAUCACCCCUCUCUGCUUCCAGCCUGUGUGGUGUAACGAAGGCUCUAAUACUACUGUGUGAGACAGAGGGAAAACAAACAAUUAAGUGAUCAAAAAGUGAAUCUCAAUGGAAUUACAAUCCUGUGUUCUUCAGCACUAAUCAUUCACCAAUACAAGACUGUGUCUGAUAUUGCAGCUUGGUCCC